Long non-coding RNA from Leopardus geoffroyi (Geoffroy's cat), 3335 nucleotides. RefSeq lists it as uncharacterized. The transcript has 2 exons. Lineage: Eukaryota; Metazoa; Chordata; Mammalia; Carnivora; Felidae. The record is from RefSeq and is a predicted model, not a curated record.
GGCUUGGAGCCUGAUGCAGGGCUUGAUCCUAUCACCCUGGGAUCAUGAUCUGAGCCGAAAUCAAGGGUCGAAUGCUCAACCGACGGAGCCCCCUAGGAGCCUCCCUAUAUGCUUCUUUUUAAACACUGGGAUUUAUUAAGAAAGGAAGCUUCAUAUCCCUAAGUACAUGGAAGUCGAUCAUCAAUGAGGAUAAAAGGGAGGCAAUUGUAUAGAGCAACGCAGGAAGCAGAACUGGGUGUUCAGCAUCUAGGUUGGUACCGUUGCCUUUGCCCAGGGAGGGGGCGGUGUGUGCAGCUGGGGGUCUCCCAGCACUUACAGAACCAGUUUGCCGAGCCCCCUUACGAACUCCGCCGCCAGCUGAGAUGCACCCCUUUGUCAGAGUUCUGCGUUCCUGCCCCUCUCCCAGGCUUCCAAGUUUUAAUAUUUUUAGCUUCUUUCCUUUCCUCCUCCAGCCCUAGGGAGAGGGGCGGCUUUCUGUAAUUGUUGGAGAACUCUUGUUUUGCCUUUUCAGUGCUUCAGUUGCUGGGUGUGGUGGGCAGAAUAAUUGUCCCCCAAAGAUAUCCAUGACCUAAUCCCCAGAGCCUUGAAUAAGUCGCCUUACAUGGCACAAGGGACUCUGUAGACGUGAUUACGUUAAGGACUUGCGAUGGGGAGACUAUCCUGGGUUAUCUGGGUGGGCCCCAUCUUCAUCACAAGGGUCCUUAAAAGCGGCAGUCGGAAACAGAAGAAAAUCAGAGGGAGAUGUGACGAGGGGGAGUGGCCUGAGAGAUAGGGGGCGGGACCGAAAACCUGUAGAGGCUGCAAGAGGCAAAGAAAUGGGUUCAGCCCUAUAGAGCUUCCAGAAAUGACCUCUGUGUCAGAUUUCUAACCUUCGGAACUGAAAGAUGAUGAAUGUGUGCUGUUUUUAGCCACUAAACUUGCGAUAGCUUGCUAUAGCAGCAAUAGAAAACACACACCCUGGUUAACACUUCUAUGUGAAAUUCUCUGUUCUUGUAACAGGUGAUCAUCCUCCCUGGGACCUCUUGCAGGGUGUUCUUACCAGAGCUGGGAAGAAAAUAAUAAGGAAGCCCUCGGGGGCAAAGAGGCAGCCUAGUAGCUCUGCGCUGGAGGCCAAGACAGAAAGGAUCUCCAUGGCCCCGCUGACCUUCCCCUUGGUGCUGUGAUGGACGAGGAGGGAGGUGACCCAGACAUUGCGGGGCACCGGCAUGCUUGAACUUGGCUUCAUUGACGGGGUCAGGCAGACUCCUGGCCAGGAGAGCCCCAGCGGUGCUCCCUGGGGCCACGGAGCCUAGAUAUCCCUGGACACCGUAGAAGGCAGUGACAGAGCCCUUACUGCAUCCAGCGCAGAUGAAGUGUGCAGGUGCUUUUGUUGGGAAGGCAGUGAAGAAUAAGGAACAGGGGAAACACAGGAAAAGGUAGGUGGGCAGGAUGUAGCUGAGAGUUGGUCGUUGGCCUUGACCAAGGGAAAGUCUUGGUCCUUCACAGAGACCACAAGGACCGCAGCCAGGGGGACAGAGAAGCAUAGAUCUGUGGGGGCCAGAGCCGUCCCUGUGGGGUCUUGAUAAACCAGGAAAGCCGCUUUCUUUGGGAGAUGGUGGUCUUGAUCUGGGUUUGAGUCCUGAUGGGAUGAUAUGACAUUUGUCCCUGAUUUUAGUUGAUCAGGGACAAGCUGAUCAACUAGUGAUCAGUGAUACUUCCUCGGCUCUCGAAGACAUUCAGGGCAGCCUCAGCUCACUGGCUGGGUUGGUCUGGAUGGUGGAAUCUCCCUGGCCUUCUUCCUUGCAGGCUAAGACGGUGUCUGAGGUUGCUAAGGGAUUCUGCCAAGCCCGGAUUAAUACCCUCGGGCCAAGAACAGUCAAUACAGAAACUUCAGGAGAGAGCCGCCUGCUUUCUUAGUUCUGUACAGUCUCUGGGGAUGGUAGGAUCUGAAUGAGGUCGCUGUCAUGAAGAUGGGGCACGGACGACCCGUCACUGAAGCCUCUCAAGGUACAAACGUCCCGUCACGUUUGUUUGUUAACUACAGGCAGAGGAGCUGCUGAACACCUGGAGGUGGGAAGGUUGUGGGAAGCUUCCAGAAACAUCACACCCUUGUAACGCCCUUUACUUUAGAGGCGUUUCCAAAUGGAAACAUUUGGACAAUUAUGAAACACUGAAAGCUUCCUGGUCAGGAAGCGGUCUUGUAGAAGGGGGAAGCCUCUGAGGCUUAGCAACUAACGUUAGCCCGUUUGAUGCUGACUACCUCAGACAAACUGAGCUAGCAGUCUGCUCAGAGCAGGAGGAAGUAAGCCUCGAGUGACAUCAGCGCUGCUUUGAAUGGGGUAUUAUAUUUAGGAGUUUCUCCUAAAGCAGGGUGCUUGUGCUAUAGGCAAACGCGCCAUUCAUUCAUCCACCGGAUACGUUUUGUGUCUUAUAACAUAUUGUGAGUGUUGUUCCAGACCCUAGGGCUGUACCGGAUGCCAAGGCAGCCCAAGUUUCUGCCUUCCCAUUUCAGGCUCUGAGCCCCGCUGAGGUGGGUCCCGGCCCCUCCUGGCCCCACGCUAACUUUAUCUGCCCUUCCCCAUAGCCAGACCAUGUAGCUGGACCCUCCCUUCAAGGUCUUCUCCCACUGCAUUUCUCAAGUUCUCCCAGAGCUGGCCUCCAGCCCAGCAGGUGCUUUAUCCUGGUGGCCCGUUCCUACAUCAGAGAGAGGAGACCGUGUCUCCUCACCUCCAGCGAGUCAAGUUUCCCAAAGAGCAACAAUUAGGACUGUUCAGACCUCGGAGAAGACACCACGCCAAUGGGACAGAACGAAGCCGAUGGGCUUCAAGGGGUGAGACAUCUUCUAAGGCUCUUUUUUGACCUUGAACAAAGGAAUCCUGUGUUAUACAUCAGUUAUUUUCCAGGAACUAAACCAGGUUCCAAAGAAGCAUGUGUUUUUAGGGGCGCCUGGGUGGCUCAGUCAAUUAAGCGUCCGACUCUUGAUUUCAGCUCAGGUCAUGACCUCACAGUUCAUGGGUUCAAGCCCCGAGUUAGGCUCUGCGUUCACAGUGUGGGCCCUGCUUGGGAUUCUUUCUUUCUCUUUCUCUCUGCCCCUUCCUUGCUCAUGCUUGCUCUCUCUCUCUCUAAAGUAAAUAAAUAAACAUAAAAAAAAAAUGUGUUUUUUUUUCUGGAAGAGAAUUCCAGCAGAGCCUUAAGAAUGAUGGGUUACAUCCGUACAAGUGGACGUGAACAUUUUACUUUAUGUAUCAGUCCUAUGAGAGCGAUUUCAUGCUGCUUGGAUUUAUGCGCCUUACAAAAAAAGCAUCUAAAACAUUUGUAAGCAAAACAUACCAAUCAAUAAAAAUCUCUUCAGUACA